This 76-nucleotide transfer RNA is filed under the name Ruminococcus sp. Its description in RNAcentral is "tRNA-Phe". It matches the Rfam family "tRNA". From Rfam's summary of the family: Transfer RNA (tRNA) molecules are approximately 80 nucleotides in length. Their secondary structure includes four short double-helical elements and three loops (D, anti-codon, and T loops). The record is from RNAcentral. Lineage: Bacteria; Bacillati; Bacillota; Clostridia; Eubacteriales; Oscillospiraceae.
GCCCCCGUAGCUCAGUUGGUAGAGCGCAGGUCUGAAGCACCUGGCGCCGCAAGUUCGAUCCUUGCCGGAGGCACCA